This 253-nucleotide ribosomal RNA is filed under the name uncultured bacterium. RNAcentral describes it as "partial 16S ribosomal RNA". It matches the Rfam family "Bacterial small subunit ribosomal RNA", at positions 524 to 776 of the family's 1533-position model. The record is from RNAcentral.
UACGGAUGGGGCUAGCGUUGUUCGGAAUUACUGGGCGUAAAGCGUGCGCAGGCGGUUCUAUAAGACAGAUGUGAAAUCCCCGGGCUCAACCUGGGAACUGCAUUUGUGACUGUAGAGCUGGAGUACGGCAGAGGGGGAUGGAAUUCCGCGUGUAGCAGUGAAAUGCGUAGAUAUGCGGAGGAACACCGAUGGCGAAGGCAAUCCCCUGGGCCUGUACUGACGCUCAUGCACGAAAGCGUGGGGAGCAAAUAGG